Molecule: ribosomal RNA, 522 nt
Filed under: uncultured bacterium
Lineage: Bacteria
Description: partial 16S ribosomal RNA
Rfam family: Bacterial small subunit ribosomal RNA
Source: RNAcentral
UGGGGAAUUUUUGGACAAUGGGGGCAACCCUGAUCCAGCCAUCCCGCGUGUGCGAUGAAGGCCUUCGGGUUGUAAAGCACCUUUGGCAGGGAAGAAACAGCCUGGGAUAAUACCCCGGGCGACUGACGGUACCUGCAGAAUAAGCACCGGCUAACUACGUGCCAGCAGCCGCGGUAAUACGUAGGGUGCAAGCGUUAAUCGGAAUUACUGGGCGUAAAGCGUGCGCAGGCGGUUCGGAAAGAAAGGUGUGAAAUCCCAGGGCUUAACCUUGGAACUGCACUUUUAACUACCGAGCUAGAGUACGUCAGAGGGGGGUAGAAUUCCACGUGUAGCAGUGAAAUGCGUAGAGAUGUGGAGGAAUACCGAUGGCGAAGGCAGCCCCCUGGGAUGAUACUGACGCUCAUGCACGAAAGCGUGGGGAGCAAACAGGAUUAGAUACCCUGGUAGUCCACGCCCUAAACGAUGUCAACUAGCUGUUGGGGUUUUAUUAACCUUAGUAGCGCAGCUAACGCGUGAAGUUGA